Molecule: ribosomal RNA, 253 nt
Filed under: uncultured bacterium
Lineage: Bacteria
Description: partial 16S ribosomal RNA
Rfam family: Bacterial small subunit ribosomal RNA
Source: RNAcentral
UACGUAGGGUGCGAGCGUUAAUCGGAAUUACUGGGCGUAAAGCGUGCGCAGGCGGUUUUGUAAGCCAGAUGUGAAAUCCCCGGGCUCAACCUGGGAAUGGCAUUUGGGACUGCAAGGCUCGAGUGCGGCAGAGGAGACUGGAAUUCCUGGUGUAGCGGUGAAAUGCGCAGAUAUCAGGAGGAACACCGGUGGCGAAGGCGGUUCUCUGGGACGGUACUGACGCUGAGACGCGAAAGCGUGGGGAGCGAACAGG